Molecule: transfer RNA, 72 nt
Filed under: Camelus bactrianus (Bactrian camel)
Lineage: Eukaryota; Metazoa; Chordata; Mammalia; Artiodactyla; Camelidae
Also listed under: 2 other names
Rfam family: tRNA
About the family: Transfer RNA (tRNA) molecules are approximately 80 nucleotides in length. Their secondary structure includes four short double-helical elements and three loops (D, anti-codon, and T loops). Further hydrogen bonds mediate the characteristic L-shaped molecular structure. tRNAs have two regions of fundamental functional importance: the anti-codon, which is responsible for specific mRNA codon recognition, and the 3' end, to which the tRNAs corresponding amino acid is attached (by aminoacyl-tRNA synthetases). tRNAs cope with the degeneracy of the genetic code in two manners: having more than one tRNA (with a specific anti-codon) for a particular amino acid; and 'wobble' base-pairing, i.e. permitting non-standard base-pairing at the 3rd anti-codon position.
Source: Rfam by way of RNAcentral
GAGGGUAUAGCUCAGUGGUUGAGUACAUGCUUAGCAAGCACCAGGUCCUGGGUUCGAUCCCUAAUACCUCCA